UGUAGUCAUAUGCUUGUCUCAAAGAUUAAGCCAUGCAUGUCUAAGUAUAAGCAAUUACAAAGCGAAACUGCGAAUGGCUCAUUAUAUAAGUUAUCGUUUAUUUGAUAGUACCUUACUACAUGGAUAACCGUGGUAAUUCUAGAGCUAAUACAUGCUGAAAAUCCCGACUUCGGGAGGGAUGUAUUUAUUAGAUACAAAACCAAUGCCCUUCGGGGCUCUCUUGGUGAUUCAUGAUAACUUCUCGAAUCGCACGGCCCCGCGCCGGCGAUGGUUCAUUCAAAUUUCUUCCCUAUCAACUUUCGAUGCUACGGUAUUGUCCUAGCAUGGUUGCAACGGGUGACGGAGGGUUAGGGCUCGACCCCGGAGAAGGAGCCUGAGAAACGGCUACCACAUCCAAGGAAGGCAGCAGGCGCGCAAAUUACCCAAUCCCGACACGGGGAGGUAGUGACAAUAAAUAACAAUACCGGGCCUUUGGUCUGGUAAUUGGAAUGAGUACAAUCUAAAUCCCUUAACGAGUAUCCAUUGGAGGGCAAGUCUGGUAAUCG
Molecule: ribosomal RNA, 545 nt
Filed under: uncultured eukaryote
Lineage: Eukaryota
Description: SSU rRNA
Rfam family: Eukaryotic small subunit ribosomal RNA
Source: RNAcentral